Apus apus (common swift) is the source of this 3896-nucleotide long non-coding RNA. RefSeq lists it as uncharacterized. NCBI's taxonomy places the organism in Eukaryota, Metazoa, Chordata, Aves, Apodiformes, Apodidae. The record is from RefSeq and is a predicted model, not a curated record. The transcript is spliced from 2 exons.
UAGCCCCUUUUUCUUCAUAAACCCUCUCUCUCUCUUUCUAACCUUAUUCUCCUCACAUAAAGGUGACAUAGUUUCUAAUUUGGUAAGUUUUUGAGAGUACAAUUUUGCUACAUGCAACCCAUUGCUUUGAAAGUAACAUUUUUCUAAGUUCUACUAGUUGUAAUCUGUUGCUUUGAGAAUUAUAGAGAUUAAUUUCACCGACUGAGUUGUUAAAAGAGGUUAACUAAGAGAGGAUUAAUCCUGCCCCUGGGGCAGUUAGAAAAGGUAAACACUACUUGUACCCACCUGGUGAGACAGGCCAGUUGCAAACCUCCCUGGGAAGGGCAGGUCUGAGAGGAGGAUUGGAUCCAGCCACACCUAGGCUCCUCUCUGACAAAGAGUUUAGAAAGCAAGGGGGUCCGGUCUGAAUCUCCCUGGGCUUCCCAGCUCAUGGGACAUGACAGAAAGUGAAAAUGUUCAGAUUUACUGUAGAAGAGAUAGAACUCAUUUGGAGUGAAACGUAUGACUAUCUCUGCAUACAAAUCAAAAUGCAGCUCUCAGAGAAGCUCCAUGGCCUCUGGUGUGAAAAGAGUGAGAAAUGUGUCAGCAUGAGUGUGGGCUCAGCUCAGACUCUGCUCAAGGACGUAGGAGGAAACAGAAACUUAACUGACAAUAAGAUUUUCCAAAGGGCUAAUUUUCCGAAAGCAAACCAUUAUGGUCAUAAACAAGUCUCAGCUAGAGAUGAUAUGCUGAGCUGAGACAGUGAAAAAUCUUCAGGGAGAGCUGGAGGCUCAGCUGGGCGAUGGGCACAGCACAGCAAGGAGCUGCACUGCCACCAGUUCAGCAUGGAACUUUCUGGCAAGGGAUUUCAUUGCUACUCAUGUCAAUGUCCUCAUCUAUUUGAUUAGGCUAGUACUCUCCCUUUUUAGUACAGCUGUGAAGAGUAAGUGCUGUUAGGAUAUUCUACAGUUCUCAGAAGAAUGACUAUUGUACUUCCUAAUGUGUUUUUAAAAGGAAACAAUUACUUCCAUAAAGUAGAUGACUGCCCUUAACACUAUUUUUUCUCCAGAUUUAUGACUAGCUUUUCCUUAAAGCACAGUUACAUGCUUCUGUUUCUUUGGCUGGUAGAACAUGAGACAAACUACUCUCUCUCAAUGCAAAGUCUUUUUCUAAUUCCUCUUGAGCAUCCUGUCUUCUGAACUAAAAGGCCAACUUUUUUCUCCCACAAACAGUAGUCAAAACAAUAUACCUACAUCUGCAGGAAGAUUUUGGCUUAUGAUCCUAUGGCACUGUUUUGGAAUUCUACACAUAAGCAAAAGAUCCAUCUUCUUUCCUAACCCUAAUUUACAAUUGAAGAUAGUUCAUUGCUAAGUGCUUUAAAUAGUGCAACAAUAGUCCCUUAAAAAGGUGAAAAGCACUGAUGCUGGGUUUUUGACUUAAGCUCCAUCUGAGGAUCUGUUAGGAUAGUAAUGCUGACUGUUUUCAGUAGUGAAAGAAACACAGAAAUUCUUUUAAUUUUUUUUUCUGUUAUGAAGGAAGAAACACUUGGCCAGAUCCUAGGGGUGAUGGGAGAAAGAACUGAACAGCAUUUCAGAAAGAGACAUUCCAUGGAUACCACUGAAAUGUUUCAAACUGCAAUUAACUAUACCUGCUGUUCCAAAAUACAGGUGCAUGUGCAUUUGGGAAUGACAUGACUAUCAAAUUGCAAAUUGAGUCACUUGACAAGCUUGUUUUACCCUUCCAAUUAUGCAAGCAAGUUUGUGACUCAACACCUACAUGUCUGUUCUCUACUGACAGGACAAAUCAGUUCAGCAGCUGAGUCAGCAAGAACAGCCCUUUUCACAGUGAUAAAUCCAGCAGGCAGCCACACUAUGGAAAAGAUUGUGGAGCUUUUAUUCUGUGUGCCUUUGUAAGAUAGAGUAAAUGUAUUUUUAAAAAGAUCUUCAGCUCAUCUUCACAUAAGAAACUAAUUAAAUGGGGGAGAGAAAAGCUGUCAUGGGAUUACACUGAUCGAUGUUCAUGGUCCUCUAACUAAAAGUGAUUACAUUUUCCUUCCAAUAGUGUUUUUUGUUGCUACUAUUGUUUGUCCAUCCCUAGUUUAUGAAACUCAUCCAGCAACCUGCUGUAAUUGCAAUUGUAAUUGAAAAUUAAUUAUUUAAUUGUAUUUUACUUUUCUUUCAAGGGUUGCAAAUAAUUCCCUACAUUUUAGACUGUGACAAGGGUGGAGGAGCCAUGCCAACUACAGGCAGUCACAAAUUCAUGCACAUAUUGGCAUGGGAAUCUCUGUUCCAGCCUGUUUCUGGAAUGCUGAUUUUUCUUCCUGGCACAUCUGCAACAUACAAUAAUCUUUCCUUACCCUUCAGGCUUGAUCCUUUCGAGAUGCCAAGUAUGAAUUACAGCUGCCAAUGAUUUUAGCACUUGAAAUACCUAAACACCUAAUGACAGAACCUCUAGGCUGCAUUUGGAACUGACAAUGAAGAACCUAGUGGGUAGGUUGAACUUCCCUCCCUGCCUGUAAGAAAGCUGUACCAUUAGUUCUAUUCAAAACUAGAUUAUCUUCACCCCCAUGCCCAGAGGUGAAUCUCACCAACAGCCUUUUUAGUUGGUGAUCAUCUCACUAGGAGGCCAUGGAUAAAGCAGCACUGGGUGAACUUCAGCACAAACACUGUAGGAGAACAUGUUAGCCAAGAGAAUCACGUUGUUAAGUUACACGAGGCUGAAAAAGAUUGGGGAAAAGGAACAGAAGGUUAUGGUUUGCAAAUGUUUUAAUUUCAUACUGGAGGCUUUUCCAAAACAUCGACAUUGGGUUUCAACACACAGAUGUAUGUGAAUACCGAAUUGUCUGUCCUUCACAACAGCUAUUCUGAGAAGCAUCAGCUGUCUCCUACAUGAUCGAUGCACAUCCUGUUGGGGCUUCAGAUCACAACCCCAGCACUGACAGUUUUCACAAUGACUGAUGCUUUCCUUAAAGCCUCUGUCCCUGCAACCAUCUGAGCAUGUGAACAUUUUAGCUUUAAUUUUCUAAAACAAAGUACCUUCAAACAUCAUACAAAGAAAUACUUUCUUUUAUAGAGAAAAGCAAAUACAAACAAAGUUAAAUACAGAAUCUCAACAUGCAAAAAUAAAUUAAAAAAAAAAUUAAAAAAGAAAGCAAACAAAGUAUGUUACUUAGAAACAACUGCAAAACCAAUCACAAUUUUAAAUGCCUACUUAAAAAUUUCCAGGUUCAGGUGAUUUAUGAGUGCCUGGGUUUGACAACACUUUGUCCAGUUUAGGGUUUCUCAGUCUGCAUGGUGCUGAGGUGGUGGGAAGAAAUGCUACAUUCCAAACUAGAUAACAUAUUUCUGCUGUACUCCCUGCAUAUGGUUGCUUUCCAAAAUCAACAAUUCUCUUUCAAGCUAUCAAAUCACAUGCCAAAAUGCAUACAUGGGGUGGCUAUCACCAUACAUUACUAACAUUGGCCAAUCUUGACUAUAAAUACCUUGCUUCCAGUGGCUUAUUCUGUGCCAAGUCUCAACACUCUGGAUUUAUUUUUUUAUUUUAAGGAUCUGGUGAAUUAAACGAUUUUCAGCUUGUGAAAAACAAGACACUUCCAAGAAUGAAAAAAGAGCAAAUAAGAAGAUAUUUAUCUUGACUUAUCAAGAGCUGUGCUUUGAACAUAUAAAUUUUUCCAUGGUGCUUGGUGUUGAGAAAAACUGUGUUCUGUCUGCCAUACAGGAUGAUUCAACAAUACCCUCUUUCUCUUCAUUUUGGAGGAGCAACCAACUCCCGUUUCCUGGAAGAAGAGUUUAUGCAAGUCCAAACCUGACAUCCAGUGGCCACUGAGACUCACGGCACUCUCUUGGCAUCUCGACCGUUUGAAGCUUGAAGUGCAAUGGCUUUACCCUUCAAAUAAAUUAUUUCAGCGCUUGAAUCAA